Molecule: small RNA, 559 nt
Filed under: Pan troglodytes (chimpanzee)
Lineage: Eukaryota; Metazoa; Chordata; Mammalia; Primates; Hominidae
Description: retained intron
Source: RNAcentral
CCUGAAGCCCCCGGGAACAACCCCCACACCCUGUAUGCUCAUCUCAUCGGGCAUUGUGACCACCUCUCUGAUGAGAUCAGCAUCACCACACUCCGGCUGUUUGAGGAGCUGCUGCAGAAGCCCCACGAGGGGAUCAUCCGCAGCCUGGUCCUGCGCAACCUUGAGGGCCGCCCUUACGUGGCCUGGGGCUCACCAGAGCCUGAGAGCUAUGAGGACACCCUAGACCUGGAGGAAGACCCCUACUUCACCGACAGCUUCCUGGAUUCCGGCUUUCAACCUCGCGCAAAGCCUCGCCUAGCUCCUGCUACCAGUUACGAUGGCAAAACAGCAGUGACCGAGAUCGUCAACAGGUGGGGAGCAAGUUAGGCAGUCUGAACCACUUGAGUUUUAUUUUAUUUUAUUUUAUUUUUUGAGAUAGAGUCUUGCUCCGUCACCCAGGAUGGAGUGCAGUUGUACAAUCUCGGCUCACUGCAACCUCCACCUCCCGGGUUCCGGAUCCAAGCGAUUCCUGUGCCUCAGCCUCCCGAGUACCUGGGAUUACAGACAUGCACCACCACAC